This 349-nucleotide long non-coding RNA is filed under the name Mytilus galloprovincialis (Mediterranean mussel). Lineage: Eukaryota; Metazoa; Mollusca; Bivalvia; Mytilida; Mytilidae. The record is from RNAcentral.
UCCUGUAUAAUGUAUACUAAUACUUGAGUAGAAUACUUCGACAUGUCACUCGCUCUUUUUUCCCUUCUUUCUCCUUUUACUUUUUUAUUUGAUAACAAUAAUGAUGUAAUUUUUUUCGUCUUGUAUCGUCCAAUAAUGAAAAUCCCUCUUUCAAUCGACCGUUGUUGAAGAUUUGCUGUGGUAUCUUACCACGUACGCAAGAACAAAGGGAGACUAGUCAAUCCGGUUAAUCAACUUUUCAUUGAUCAAUAUUCGUAAGAGAACAUAAUUCAGAGAGUCCUAAAAUACGCUAUUACAUAUAAACUGCCUUUCAUUCUAUCUUUUGAAAUGUGAUCUCAGGUCCUUGGAC